UACAGGGGGGGCAAGCGUUGUUCGGAAUUACUGUUCUUAAAGGGCUCGUAGGCGGCCAACUAAGUCACACGUGAAAUCCCCAGGCUUAACCUGGGAACUGCGUGUGAUACUGGAUGGCUUGAAUUCGGGAGAGGGAUGCAGAAUUCCAGGUGUAGCGGUGAAAUGCGUAGAUAUCUGGAGGAAUACCGGUGGCGAAGGCGGCAUCCUGGACCGACAUUGACGCUGAGGAGCGAAAGCUAGGGGAGCAAACGGG
This 253-nucleotide ribosomal RNA is filed under the name uncultured bacterium. Its description in RNAcentral is "partial 16S ribosomal RNA". It matches the Rfam family "Bacterial small subunit ribosomal RNA", at positions 524 to 776 of the family's 1533-position model. The record is from RNAcentral.